RNAcentral lists this ribosomal RNA (496 nucleotides) under uncultured Streptococcus sp. Its description in RNAcentral is "bacterial SSU rRNA". It matches the Rfam family "Bacterial small subunit ribosomal RNA", at positions 29 to 507 of the family's 1533-position model. Lineage: Bacteria; Bacillati; Bacillota; Bacilli; Lactobacillales; Streptococcaceae. The record is from RNAcentral.
ACGAACGCUGGCGGCGUGCCUAAUACAUGCAAGUAGAACGCUGAAGAGAGGAGCUUGCUCUUCUUGGAAGAGUUGCGAACGGGUGAGUAACGCGUAGGUAACCUGCCUUGUAGCGGGGGAUAACUAUUGGAAACGAUAGCUAAUACCGCAUAACAAUGGGUGACCCAUGUCAUUCAUUUGAAAGGGGCAACUGCUCCACUACAAGAUGGACCUGCGUUGUAUUAGCUAGUAGGUGAGGUAACGGCUCACCUAGGCGACGAUACAUAGCCGACCUGAGAGGGUGAUCGGCCACACUGGGACUGAGACACGGCCCAGACUCCUACGGGAGGCAGCAGUAGGGAAUCUUCGGCAAUGGGGGCAACCCUGACCGAGCAACGCCGCGUGAGUGAAGAAGGUUUUCGGAUCGUAAAGCUCUGUUGUAAGUCAAGAACGAGUGUGAGAGUGGAAAGUUCACACUGUGACGGUAGCUUACCAGAAAGGGACGGCUAACUACGUG